This 468-nucleotide ribosomal RNA is filed under the name uncultured bacterium. Its description in RNAcentral is "partial 16S ribosomal RNA". It matches the Rfam family "Bacterial small subunit ribosomal RNA", at positions 28 to 507 of the family's 1533-position model. The record is from RNAcentral.
GACGAACGCUGGCGGCGUGCUUAACACAUGCAAGUCGAACGGAAAGGCCCUGCUUUUGUGGGGUGCUCGAGUGGCGAACGGGUGAGUAACACGUGAGUAACCUGCCCUUGACUUUGGGAUAACUUCAGGAAACUGGGGCUAAUACCGGAUAGGAGCUCCUGCUGCAUGGUGGGGGUUGGAAAGUUUCGGCGGUUGGGGAUGGACUCGCGGCUUAUCAGCUUGUUGGUGGGGUAGUGGCUUACCAAGGCUUUGACGGGUGGCCGGCCUGAGAGGGUGACCGGCCACAUUGGGACUGAGAUACGGCCCAGACUCCUACGGGAGGCAGCAGUGGGGAAUAUUGCACAAUGGGCGGAAGCCUGAUGCAGCAACGCCGCGUGCGGGAUGAAGGCCUUCGGGUUGUAAACCGCUUUCGCCUGUGACGAAGCGUGAGUGGCGGUAAUGGGUAAAGAAGCACCGGCUAACUACGUG